RNAcentral lists this ribosomal RNA (446 nucleotides) under uncultured bacterium. RNAcentral describes it as "partial 16S ribosomal RNA". It matches the Rfam family "Bacterial small subunit ribosomal RNA", at positions 354 to 796 of the family's 1533-position model. The record is from RNAcentral.
GUAGGGAAUAUUGGACAAUGGGGGGAACCCUGAUCCAGCCAUGCCGCGUGGAGGAAGACUGCCCUCUGGGUUGUAAACUCCUUUUAUAUGGGAAGAACCGUCCUCAUUAAUGAGUGACCUGACGGUACCAUAGGAAUAAGCACCGGCUAACUCCGUGCCAGCAGCCGCGGUAAUACGGAGGGUGCAAGCGUUAUCCGGAUUCACUGGGUUUAAAGGGUGCGUAGGCGGAUAAAUAAGUCAGUGGUGAAAUCAACGGGCUCAACCUGUUAACUGCCAUUGAUACUGUGUAUCUUGAAUAUGAGAGAGGUAGGCGGAAUGUUGCAUGUAGCGGUGAAAUGCUUAGAUAUGCUACGGAACACCGAUUGCGAAGGCAGCUUACUAUUUCGUAAUUGACGCUGAGGCACGAAAGCGUGGGUAGCGAACAGGAUUAGAUACCCGGGUAGUCC